Molecule: transfer RNA, 60 nt
Filed under: Bathymodiolus azoricus
Lineage: Eukaryota; Metazoa; Mollusca; Bivalvia; Mytilida; Modiolidae
Description: tRNA-Leu
Source: RNAcentral
GUUAAGUUAGUUAAUGUAAACAUUGGCUUUAGUUGCCAAGAAUGCUUUUGGUACUUAAAA